Molecule: long non-coding RNA, 1475 nt
Organism: Oryza sativa Japonica Group (Japanese rice)
Lineage: Eukaryota; Viridiplantae; Streptophyta; Magnoliopsida; Poales; Poaceae
Source: RefSeq, a predicted model, not a curated record
AAACUUUUGCAUCAUGCUGGUGUUAUUCGUUUCUCUGUUGUAAAAUGUAUUAUUUAAGUUAAAUAUUGUGAGAAGACAAAUAUAUUGAUAUGACAAGACAAAUACUAAAACCUUAAAUAUGGGAAAAUAGAAACAUAUGUUGGAAUUAGAAAAAUUAAUUAUUAAUAUAUGGUGCAAUAAAUCACAAGAUUGGAAGUGUUGAAAUAUAGGUAACUAUCUAAAAAAAAGGAGAUUAAACCAUCUAAAAAUUAUUCACACAAAAAGGUCUAGGAAAAGCCCUAAUUGUGAUUUUUCUCGGGCCGCUACUGUUCAUUGCGCGCCAGGUGUUCGAUUUGUGUCUAACCUGACCAAACGCCUGACGACGCCCUCUCCAACCGCUGCUGUGCCGCGCGCCUGCCUUCCCGACCCGUGCGCCGCACCGCGUCGCGCCACGCCGCGUGGGCCUGCCGCCGUCCGAGCCGCCAAAAACCCGCGCCAAAGCUGCGCCGCCACGAGUGCCCGCGUCAUCCCGUCCCCUCGCGCGUCGCAUUCGGGAUUGAGUGAUAAUGGCCGCCACGACGACCCCGCGUCACCCUAGGGCAUAGCCCUGCGCCUUCCCUAUCGAGGCCGUUAUCACUGUCCGUCGCCGCCGCUCUUGUCGCCGUCGCAUCGCCAUCCUGUCGCCCACAAUUGAGACCGCUGGAUAUUAGGGUGCUCCUUCCCCAGCUAAUGAUCCCUCUCCUGGAACUCUAUCAUCUAGGCAAUCAUGCUGGCACAGUGCAUUGAACCAAACCUAGGAGAGAUCGAAACGUGGCUGAGUCAUCGGUUGACCUUAUCCAGUUGGAAUCGCCCUCCCUCUCGCUGUUAUAAGCUCACUCCUAGCUCGUCCUCAUCCAAAAUCAGCCCCUUAUCUUCUUCCCUCUUCCCCAAAGCUCUUGCUCCAUCUCAGAGGAAAGAAAACGCGCCGCCGCCGGGUGUCGAACACCUGGUGGGCGGGGGCUGCGCCGCCGCCACAGGGCCUCUCGGCCGGUGUGGGUGGCGGGGUGUGGAGAGAAGGUGCCCGCGUUGCCAUUGCUACUGUUGGAGGGAGCCGGGAGCCACUACUCGAGGAAGGCCGAGCGUCGAACACCUGCGACUGUCGCCGACCGCCGUCUGCCCCUGUUUCGGCUACCGCGCGCCAUCGAACUUCGCCGUUCCGCCACUCCGUGAUUCCGAGGGAAUUGUUGAGUCGAUUGAGGAGCAGGGACAGCAAGACUGCGAUCAAGGCAAGUCAUCACUAAUCUUUGAGCAUGUUGAACCUAUUGCGAAAAUUAUGUUGAUUUGAAUAAAAUUGCAUGCUAUAUAUGAAUAUGAAUGUCCUACUUGUUAUAUAUGCUAUGCCUUGAUAUUGAUUAUCUGUAUGCCCAUUGUAAACCCUGCUAUCGUGUGUACUUAGUCAAUAUUGGACAAAUGCUUAGUCAUGCUACACUAGAAUCAUGCAUUCUCAUAUUUAUCAA